This 870-nucleotide long non-coding RNA is filed under the name Parus major (Great Tit). RNAcentral's name for it is "lncRNA (ENSPMJG00000002347.1)". The stretch from base 105 to 150 matches the Rfam family "Histone 3' UTR stem-loop". Lineage: Eukaryota; Metazoa; Chordata; Aves; Passeriformes; Paridae. The record is from RNAcentral.
AUCGCGCAGGGCGGCGUGCUGCCCAACAUCCAGGCCGUGCUGCUGCCCAAGAAGACCGACAGCCACAAGGCUAAAGCCAAGUAAAUCUCAUCUGACAAAACAACCCAAAGGCUCUUUUCAGAGCCACCCACAUCUUCCUAGAAAGAGCAGGAACGCUUGAACCCGGGAAUACGUGAUAUGUCAAUGUAUUUAGAAACUUGAAAUCUCCCGGUUGGGAAGGGGGGCUUCUAAAAUGUUAUGUAUCUUUACAUUCUACCUUGGCGGUCUGUAGCUUCCUGCCUUUUUUAUCUUGGAAGUUACGGUACUUAUGUAAGCGUGCGUCAGUUCCUCUUUAAAAAAAAAAAAAAAAUCAAUAAAAGGUAGCGGUUGUGACUGAUGAAAUCGGUCACCGCUGUGUGGAUUAAGAAGAGAUGUGAACUCUGCGAGGGUGCGCUCGCUGCCUCCCGGCGCUUGCUGGGGGUGAAGCGCCUCUCACCCCGGGGGAGGGAGGAAGGACGGGGCGGGUUCGGGGCCUCCCCCGGCCAAUCCGGCUGGAGCGCGCGGCCUUCAAACCUCGGGGGCACCGGGACAUCUCCCUGCGGGCCCGGCUGCCCUGGGAUCCGGCUAGAAGAGGGAUUCCAGUGCCUUGCGAGCAGCGCUUGCUGCGGUUUUCUGCUUUCUGAGGUUCUCUUUUUUUUUUUUUUCCUCUUUUGCAACUUCGAGCUUCCUGGCAAUAAUAAGAAAAGCCGUUCUGCCUCAGGAGGCGGAGGAGUGAGUCACUGGGGCGUUCUGUUCAUGGAAAAUGUUUUUCAAGCAGAGGAAGAUAACGUGGGAGUGCCCGGCUGAAGUCUUGCUUGGAAACAAGAUGAGAAUCUCGCCUGUUUCUAAGCG